AUUGAACGCUGGCGGCAUGCCUUACACAUGCAAGUCGAACGGCAGCACGGGAGCAAUCCUGGUGGCGAGUGGCGAACGGGUGAGUAAUAUAUCGGAACGUGCCCAGUCGUGGGGGAUAACGUAGCGAAAGCUACGCUAAUACCGCAUACUAUCUAUGGAUGAAAGCGUGGGAUCGCAAGACCUCGCGCGAUUGGAGCGGCCGAUAUCAGAUUAGGUAGUUGGUGAGGUAAAGGCUCACCAAGCCGACGAUCUGUAGCUGGUCUGAGAGGACGACCAGCCACACUGGGACUGAGACACGGCCCAGACUCCUACGGGAGGCAGCAGUGGGGGAAUUUUUGGACAAUGGGCGGCAAGCCUGAUCCAGCAAUGCCGCGUGCAGGAUGAA
This 385-nucleotide ribosomal RNA is filed under the name uncultured bacterium. Its description in RNAcentral is "bacterial SSU rRNA". It matches the Rfam family "Bacterial small subunit ribosomal RNA", at positions 30 to 412 of the family's 1533-position model. The record is from RNAcentral.